This 1364-nucleotide unclassified non-coding RNA is filed under the name Hevea brasiliensis (rubber tree). The record is from RNAcentral. Lineage: Eukaryota; Viridiplantae; Streptophyta; Magnoliopsida; Malpighiales; Euphorbiaceae.
GUCCAAGCAGCUGCAGUGCCUGUAACCCAAGAAGCUCCAACACAAUCCAGCUCCAAUUCCCACCAGACCUCUGGUGAACCAUCCAAGCCAAGGCGGGUUAUGGUCAUUGGUGGAGAUGGCUACUGUGGUUGGGCCACUGCCCUCCACCUAUCCAACAAAGGUUAUGAGGUUGCUAUAGUUGACAGCCUCAUCCGUCGUCUUUUUGACCACCAACUUGGUCUAGACUCUCUGACCCCUAUCUCUUCCAUCCACAACCGGCUACGUUGUUGGAAAUCACUCACUGGAAAAACUAUUGAACUCCAUAUUGGUGAUAUUUGUGACUUUGAAUUCUUAUCAGAAACAUUCAAGUCAUUUGAGCCUGAUGCUGUUGUCCAUUUUGGGGAACAGCGCUCAGCCCCUUAUUCAAUGAUUGAUAGGUCUAGAGCUGUUUUUACUCAGCACAACAAUGUGAUUGGAACACUUAAUGUUCUCUUUGCUAUAAAGGAAUUUGUAGAGCAGUGCCAUCUGGUGAAGCUUGGGACAAUGGGAGAGUAUGGAACACCAAACAUUGAUAUUGAGGAGGGUUAUAUAACAAUUACCCAUAAUGGAAGAACAGACACUUUGCCUUACCCUAAGCAAGCCAGCUCUUUCUACCAUCUUAGCAAGGUGCAUGACUCAAAUAAUAUAGCCUUCACUUGCAAGGCUUGGGGAAUUAGAGCUACCGAUCUAAACCAAGGAGUGGUUUAUGGAGUGAGGACUGAUGAGACAGAGAUGCAUGAAGAACUUUGCAACAGGUUUGAUUAUGAUGGAGUAUUUGGAACUGCAUUGAAUCGGUUUUGUGUCCAGGCUGCUGUUGGACAUCCACUUACUGUAUAUGGGAAAGGGGGCCAGACCAGGGGCUACCUUGACAUAAGGGAUACAGUUCAGUGUGUGGAACUUGCCAUUGCAAACCCUGCAAGACCUGGAGAGUUUCGGGUCUUCAAUCAAUUUACUGAGCAGUUUUCUGUCAAUGAACUUGCUUCCCUUGUAACAAAAGCGGGAGAGAAGCUUGGUCUGGAUGUGAAAACAAUAUCUGUGCCCAAUCCACGAGUGGAGGCAGAAGAACAUUACUACAAUGCCAAGCACACUAAGCUUAUUGAGUUGGGACUCAAACCACACCUUCUUUCAGACUCUCUUCUUGACUCAUUGCUUAACUUUGCUAUAAAGUUCAAGGAUCGUGUUGAUGCUAAACAGAUAAUGCCCGAUGUUUCAUGGAGAAAAAUUGGUGUUAAACCAAAGACUGUUGCAGCAUGAAUAAAUAAACAUAUGUUAGGGACUUACGCUACAAAAAAUCAUCAUCAAGCUUGAUCUUCUGUGGCAGAUGAUACUGCUUUUUUAACUUUCAC